GAAGUCAAAUGCAGUUGAGAGCUGUCCUGUGCCAUCAAUCCAAUCGAUAAUCCGUUGCCGGUGGCUAUCUGGAGAAGGCAUUGAUGGAAAAAUGUAAGAAAUAUUGAUAUAAUAGUGGAAAUCAUGCUCUGUAUAAAGCAACAUUCUAAAAGCUAAAUGAGAAAUUUUAAAGAUAAAAAGGAAAAGGAAGAGGGAGUGAGGAAGUAACAUGUCAUAAGCCAUAGCUGAAAGAACACCAAGCAAAUGAGAUCAAAGGGAUCCAUAUCAAGAUCAAAUCUCCCACACCAGUAAUCAGCAACCCAAGAAACAUGAUUUGAACAGCGCAAGUGAUGCAAACAGUAAUGGAACUCCAUAUGGGAAUUAGAUUAAUAAUUAUGGCAGGUUAUUGUUUGCAGCAUAGCGGCACAGGAAAUUUCUGUAAUCAGAAGCAUUUAAGUAAUUUCACUAUUUUGCUGCAAAAGGCUGCACUACAGUGUCUUGGGUCUUAAUUUAGGUCUAUUUAGUUUUGAGUCUGAGCACGGAGUCCUAACAAGUCUAGUAGUUAGUUUUAGUUUUGUGGAGUUCAAGUAUUUGGAUUAGGAUUUAUGUUGAGACUUUAAAUACCAAAACCUGUUUGGGAGCAAGACUUAGUUGUUGUAGUUUAAAUAACUAAACAGCUUAUUAAUCAAUUUUUUGUCAAUGAAUAAAUUCCAAAAAUAAUGGCUUCUUUAAGUUGUUGUGGUGCAUUUCUAAUUUUGGAAAGUGUGAGGCUUUUUUAUAGGAGUUGUAGUUCUUGCUAGUGUGAGACUAGUAUCUGACUAGUAGAUUUAUUUAGUUUGCUUAAUUUUCUCUCCAAUUUUUAUCUUUAAGCCCUAAUGUCUUGAGUUUAAAACUGAACCCUAAUCUAAAGAAUUCAAAAUUUUCCCAAGUUGGUUUACAUCAGCAACCAGUUUUUAAGAAGCCUUUAAUUGUGUACAUCUUUCUCACAAUUGAUUGAAAACUCAAGAUGGUGAUGAAAGAUUAUCCUAUUUUUAAAUCAACAAGCUCUUGUAUCUUAAGGAAACUAUUGUUAAGAAGAAAUACAGUAUCAGAAGUUCAAACAACCAACCUUAACUAUUAGAGCAUUUCUGACCUAAUACAGAAAAUAAUUUACAGAAACCCAAAUUUUUUAAGGACUUGCUCAAAAAGAACUAGGCACGUGGGUAUCCUAUAUGGACUAAAAUUCCACUUGUUUGGUCCUGAAAAAAGUAGACUAUUGAUGUAUGAUAAAACUCAACUCAACUCAACUA
RNAcentral lists this unclassified non-coding RNA (1268 nucleotides) under Hevea brasiliensis (rubber tree). Lineage: Eukaryota; Viridiplantae; Streptophyta; Magnoliopsida; Malpighiales; Euphorbiaceae. The record is from RNAcentral.